AAUAGAUACCCUGGUAGUCCACGCCGUAAACGAUGAUAACUAGCUGUCAGGGCUCUUGGAGCUUUGGUGGCGCAGCUAACGCGUUAAGUUAUCCGCCUGGGGAGUACGGCCGCAAGGUUAAAACUCAAAGAAAUUGACGGGGGCCUGCACAAGCGGUGGAGCAUGUGGUUUAAUUCGAGGCAACGCGCAGAACCUUACCAGCGUUUGACAUGGUAGGACGGUUUUCAGAGAUGAAUUCCUUCCCUUACGGGACCUACACACAGGUGCUGCAUGGCUGUCGUCAGCUCGUGUCGUGAGAUGUUGGGUUAAGUCCCGCAACGAGCGCAACCCUCGUCUUUAGUUGCCAUCAUUUAGUUGGGCACUCUAAAGAAACUGCCGGUGAUAAGCCGGAGGAAGGUGGGGAUGACGUCAAGUCCUCAUGGCCCUUACGCGCUGGGCUACACACGUGCUACAAUGGCGGUGACAAUGGGCAGCAAACCCGCGAGGGUGAGCUAAUCUCCAAAAGCCGUCUCAGUUCGGAUUGUUCU
This 527-nucleotide ribosomal RNA is filed under the name uncultured bacterium. RNAcentral's name for it is "bacterial SSU rRNA". It matches the Rfam family "Bacterial small subunit ribosomal RNA", at positions 777 to 1304 of the family's 1533-position model. The record is from RNAcentral.